This 413-nucleotide ribosomal RNA is filed under the name uncultured archaeon. RNAcentral describes it as "bacterial SSU rRNA". It matches the Rfam family "Archaeal small subunit ribosomal RNA", at positions 586 to 997 of the family's 1478-position model. The record is from RNAcentral.
GCCAGACUUGGAACCGGGAGAGGUAAGAGGUACUACAGGGGUAGGAGUGAAAUCUUGUAAUCCCUGUGGGACCACCUGUGGCGAAGGCGUCUUACCAGAACGGGUUCGACGGUGAGGGACGAAAGCUGGGGGCACGAACCGGAUUAGAUACCCGGGUAGUCCCAGCCGUAAACGAUGCUCGCUAGGUGUCAGGCAUGGCGCGACCGUGUCUGGUGCCGCAGGGAAGCCGUGAAGCGAGCCACCUGGGAAGUACGGCCGCAAGGCUGAAACUUAAAGGAAUUGGCGGGGGAGCACAACAACGGGUGGAGCCCUGCGGUUUAAUUGGACUCAACGCCGGACAACUCACCGGGGGCGACAGCAAUAUGUAGGCCAAGCUGAAGACUUUGCCUGAAUCGCUGAGGAGAGGUGCAUGG